ACCAUCAUCCUUGUUGGCCCUUGUUGGUCCUUCCCAUUGUCCACCCUUGUCGGCGAUAUUUCUCGUGGGUUUACACCUACAUGCUUUCUUGGUCUCGUGGUGGCGAUCCUUGUGUUGGUCCAUAGUGGAUGAUAUGGCCUCUUUCUUCACCAAUUUCGAGUUUCUUCAUUGUGUGAUCCCUAGUAGGGGUGAGCACGGGCUGGGCCGGGCCCAUUUUUUAAGGAACCGGACCGGACAUGAGUUUAAAAUAAAUGGGCCGGGCCGGGCUGGGUACAUCAUAUUUCAAUACAGAAAUCAGACCUAACCUGGCCCGUUUGAAACGGGCCGAUCCGGGCCAGGUCCACGGGUCUUUUUUUUUUCUCUCUCUGUUUAAGAUUGAUUCAGCUCCAGAACCCAGUUCCAAAUUGCAAUUCCAAUUCCAAAUCCAGUUCCAAAUCGUCACCAAACCUAGUUCUUACUUUAAUGUUCUUCAAUCUUUACAUGAGCAUACCUCUCUCUAGAUCUUUUGCUUUCUGCAAAAAUGGCUCAGAAUACGUUUUUCUAAUUGGCCUUUUUCUUAGCAUUAUUCACACUCACUUCACUCUCCCACAUCCUACGCGAAUCCGACCCCUCAACUCCUCCGCCUUCUCCCUCCAACUCCACCCCCGCGACGCCCUCUUCAAUUUCCAGCACAAAGACUACAAAUCCUUCACCUUAACCAGCCUCGACCGCGACUCGGCCCGAGUUAACUCGCUUCAAACCAAGCUCCCCUUGGCACUCCAGGGGAUCAAAAAUCAGAUUGCGACUGCGAUGAUGUCGGGGUGGUGGAGGAGAUGACUGACGGAGAGUGGGUGGAACCGUAAAGGGGAAGGGACGAUGCAUGCGAGACGACAAGAGAUGUAACCAAUGAUAGAACAUAUACAUCUAGCAACCUGGGAAAACUUAGGGAUCUUUAUAGAGAUGUAAGUGAUCAAAAAGGAGAAACCAGUAUGGACAGGAUUCCCAGGGGAGAUGGUGGUGGUGGUGAAGAGGUGAUUAGACUUGGCGAUUCUCGUUGGAAAUAGCACGGAGAGAGAGAGAGAGAGAUCGAGAGAGAGAGAGAGAGAGAUUGAGAAUCGAGUCGACAGAUCUGAAAGGGAGGAUUGAAGAGAGGAGAGUAUUCGAGAAGAUUUGAGAAAAUAGGAGAGGAAUAGGAAAAUGUUACAAACGGGCAGUUCGAGUACCCGUUUUCUUACACUUUUGGAAUCGGCCCGCCCCUAAAAUUUCAAAGCCCCGGCCCGCCUUGCCCCGUUUCUUUAAAAAAAUUAGGAACCGGCCCGUACCCGCCCCGAACCGCGAUUACCCGCCCCGACUCGCAGUUCCUAUACCCGUUUGCCCACCCUUAAUCCCUAGUGAUUGUGGAGGGAGGCGGACAGUUGUGCGGAUUUCUAGUGGCGGCGUUUCUAGGAUUUUCUAUGUAGUUUGUUUGUGUGUGAUGGGCUCUAAGUUUCUUAGGAUGUUUUCUUAUGUGCGUUUGUGGCCCAUUUUCUUUUUUGUGCUUAACUUGUAAUGGGCUUUGUUGUACUUGUUUUGGUUAGUAAGGAAAUGUACAAUUUAUAAAAGAGAGUUUUAACGAAAAACUCACGGUACUGUUCACUUUAAUGAAAAACCACAUUUUUACACUAAAAAGUCAAACUUGGUACUAUUCACUUUACCUUUUAUUUUGUCCUUAUCGUUAAAAGUCAAAGUUUUCAAGCCAUUUUCAUUAAUUUUCCUUUUAUAAAAUAAAUAAAUAAAUGAAGUGAUGCAAACUUUAGGGUUACUUACAUUUUAUACCUUUUAGGUUUGAAGUGUUUUUAAAAAUUGGUCAUGAGGUUUCCAUUUUUUCAAACUGCACGUUUACACCUUUUGUCUAUUUGAACGUCUAAUUAUCCAUUAAAUUGAUGAGUUUUUGGGUCAAUUUGGUACAAAUGUGGCUAUACAUAUCAACCCAAUUAUGUGUUCCACGCUCGCAAAGUUAUCAAUUUAAUGAAGACUCAAAACAUUUGUUAGACAAAAAACAUAAUUGAUACAGUUCUAAAAUCUCAAGGUGUAGUGUGAAAAAGUGAAAUCUUAUGGCCCAAUUGACACAGAACGUUAUGUGACAAUUUACUUGAGUAGAAAAAAAAACUCGAGCAUCAUGAUAUUUUGAUGUGAAAAAAAAAACGCAAACGUUUGCUUUUUUUUUUUUUUUUUUUUUUUUUUUUUUUAACAAACGAUAUUAUCUACACUAAGGUGGAAGAAGAUGAAGCUUAGCCUUACAAUAAGCUAAUAAUAAUAUGGUUCAAAUUCGUCUUUGACGAGAAUCGAAUCUAAGACCUCUUACUUACUAAUAAAGAAUGGUAAGCCUUUCUCUAUUGCCCCAAAAAAAGAGAGUAGUCGUUGUCUCAUUUGACGGAUUGAAAUAACGGAGUUUAGUGUCCGAUUAAACCAAGGGGAGCAUGAGUGCAAUUUGACUCACUCCUUAACUUGGCAAAGCAAUCCGGCCGGUCCAAGUGUACUGAUGAUCCGCGUGGCAAAAUCCCUGCUAAACUGCCGAAGGGAACCAAUGAGGCCUCCCGCAGCAAAACUACUCUAAAGAAUAAACACGCGAUCUGAGUCGUCGGCGAGUAUCGACGUCAAAAACCAUUCGCUGGAGCAAAGCAGGUCACUGAAAAUAAAUAAAUAAAAAUUAAAAAAAAACACGGAAGCUGAAGCUGUUGCGGGAAAAAGCUUGAUCAGAUUAGGGUUUCGCGAAUUCGAAUCGCCGAAAAGGUUCAAUCAAGUUAGGGCUUUUAUCAAAAUUUUAGUUAUAAUUGCUUAGUUUGUUUGCUGAAAUUUGGAAAUUUGCAGGAUAACUGAAAUGGGGGACGGCCUAUGGAACCGGCAGCAGCAGCAGCAGCAUCAACUUGGUCCCUCUGGCGGCGUGCAUAAACGACCUCGUUCUGACUACGGUACGUUCUCUGUGGCCGUGUCUCAUAGUUAUUUUCUUUAAUUGGAUGGAACUGUGAUUGGAUUUUUUGCAUUAUAGAUUUAGUUGUCUAACAAUUUAAAUAUGUGACCUUUUUUGUUUUUUAUUCGAGCGAUAUUAUAGUCUAAUCGAAACUAUGGGGAGUGGAGGAUCUGAACUUGGGUGUAAAGAGGGAGCACACUGCUCAAGUGUUAGCUCGAAGUCUGAUUUUUGUGCCAUAAGUGUUUUUGCUUUAGUAGUUCUUGAUGGGUUUUCGGGUUUCACUGUAAAAUUAUGUUCAAAAUGGUGAAUUUUGUGUGUAGAGUAUCUAUCGUUGACAAAGAUUCCAGUUCGGUUGUCUGAUGACUCUGCUUGUUUUUAUCUCCAAUUAUUCCUGCAGAUAUGCAGUUUCUGGUUUUGUAGCUAGGUGCCUUCUUUUCUUUUCCUUUUUUUGAAAAAAAAUGAAAAAUGUUUGCUUCUGUUUUUAUUCUUACAUCUUCAGGUACUUCAUGAAGUAUAUAAUAUAGUUUAGCCUUUUUGUUACACUUGCUACAAUUGGGGUGAACAGUCAUACUUGUAUGAUUCCAUAUCAUAAUGUAUCUUUCAAGAAAGCUUUACUAGCAGAUGAUUUCUGUCGUUAUUUUCUUUGUAACCAAAUCACAGUUUGUCGCUCUUAUGUUUCUUUCAGUCCAUACUGAAUAAGCUGAACCCAAGAAAACCUGGUUCAGUGUGGUUGUUGAGACCUAUGUGCAAAAUGAAAAGUACUACAUUACACGGUACUUAAGAAUGGGUAUUUUCCCCAACCCAACCAAAUCCCAAACCUCUAAAAUGAUAUCAAGUAGAUUCUUCCCUUUAUGUGCGGCCAGUCUUCCAAUCUAAUGCUAUUUUUCAAUAAUGAUGGUAAUAAGAUUCCCCAUACAUAUUUAUGAUGCAUAUUAUUGAUAUAAAUUUUGAUAACCAAAUCCCCUUUUUUUGUUGAUUUAGUUAUUUGUCUGUUGAAUAGUUCUUGUUAUAAAUUCAUAGUCACGAUCAAAAGCAUAGCCUUGUAUAGUCUUAUGUAGAUGUUUCGAUUGGUAUGUUUUCUUUGUACUUUUGAACCUUGAAAGCAGUUUUACUAGUUCAUCACCACCUUGUUUGUUAACUGCUAGAUGAGGUAUAUUCUACAUCCCCCUAUUACUUCUCAACUGGUUUCUUGAUUUAUGUUCUUUCAUUUCUUCUUUUUAUGCCUUUUCUCUUGUUCAAUAGUUGUAAUAUUUACAGCUGAAUUAUGUCUGUUUGUUAAUGUUUUCUCAGUGUCUUGCCUUUUUCAUAAAGGGUAAAAUAUGCGUUCCGUGCAUUAAUUUUGUCAAGGAUCUCAACUUUUAUUUUUCAAGUUAGGAAACAACUUUUCCCCAAUUUAUUUUGUUUUCAGGGGAAAUGUGAAACAUGGUGAAUAGUUAGAAACACAGAUAGGAACCUUUCAACUGGAAUGAGUAUCUCAGUCUUCCUCAGAGCAUCUGUUGUUGGCCCUCACUUUUAACGUUUGUCGCCUCUCUCUGCUUUUCUUUCUCCUUUGUAUCUCGUCUCUCACACUCUCUCUACACCCUAAAAACCUGCACUCCAGCCCCACUCCCAAAGCCUGUCUGAGAGCCAUUCUUCGAAACCAAUAUGUGGACCCUCUUCUUCUUCAACACUCCCCCCCCCCCCUCUCUCUCUCCCUCUCUCCCUUCUCAAUGUUGUCAUCUCUGUCUCAGAUGUGAAACCAUUUGGUUGUGGAUAAUAAGUUUGAUGUGAAUAAUUCUUACGUGAUAAAUUUGAAUGAUAGAAUUUGGUAUCAUUUCAAGUUAAAUGGAGUCGACAAGAAUUUUGUUGAACUUGUGGAGAAAUGGAAGAUGCUACUUGUAUCAGAUAUAGAGCUGAUAUUGGAUAUUUGACAUUGCUUUAUUUCAUUGUAUCAGUUUCUUUGUGGUGUCGAAAUGGUUAUGGUACUUGUAUGGCAUAUAGAGCUGAUGUUGGAUGUUUGAUGUUGCUUUAUUUUGUUGUAUCAGUUUCUUUUUGGUGUUGGAAUGGUUAUACUGUACUUGUAUCUGUUUCUUUAUCUCUUCUUUUGGUGAUGCUUUAUAUUACUUUAUUUUAUUUUUAAAUCUGGAAUGGUUAUACUGUACUUGUAUUGGGUGUAUAUUUGGUGUUGGAUGUUUGAUUGAUAUGAAUGUUCCAGUUAAAAGGCUCUAACUCACAAUGGUUUUGGUUAGAUUUGCUACGUCCAUGGGAUAAGUCAAUUUCACUUUUGUGCCAUUUAAAGGGGCUCUAACUCACAAUAAAUGUUUGGUUCAUCCGCACGUCUUGUCAAAAUGCAUUAACAUUGGUUAUGUGUUUGGUUAUAAUACUUAGUUGAAGCUAAUUUUCAAAUAUUGCUGCUUAAUUGCAAAUUCUGUAAUUCAAUCCUUUCUCAUACUAACAAUGAAUUCAUUUUCACUGUUUUUGUUUUAAGAAAUAGUUUUCAAACUAUUCUACCAGACGCAUUCUCUAAUGUUAAAAUGCAAAAAUAUUAUCUUGUUUUCAUUUUUUGAAAACGUUUUAUGCAGAUGGUUUUGGAAAACAUCACCAGACAGGUCCUUACUUUUCUGUAUUGUCAACCUGUCUUCAGGUCAAGAGAUGCAUGGUUAUUUUGCACGAGAGGAUGAUAUUGGCGGUCCUAGGACUGUAAAGGAUAGCAGAUCAAUCGGAUCAGCAUAUGACCGCUAUCUUCAGAAUGCGGUGACUUUCUUAAGCAUUUGAAACUAUGCUUAUUAUUCAUUGUGAUACAGCUCCCUGUUUUUGUAUUUGUACCAAAACAUUAUCCUACUUUCUUUUAAAGGAAAUGCCUUCGUACACUUCUGGAGAAGCGAGUACUUUUGGUGGAGCUGGAAUGGGAAGGGCUGUUGGUGGUGGAAUGUCAGGUCCUCCAAUGGCUGAUCAUUCUAUGAGGGGUCGUCCUGGAGCUAUGUCUUCUGAUCUACUAACAAAUGGUCGAAAUAUGAAUCUUGCUAAUCAGCUCCCAGUAGAUGCAACGGCUAGGCCUGGACGUGAAACAGUUCCUUUGCCUCUGGAUGCAUCCAGCACUUUAUAUGUUGAAGGACUUCCUCCUGACAGCACAAGGAGGGAAGUAGCUCGUAUCCUUUAUGAUCUUUCUAUUAUGCUUAAGAGUUAGUGCAUUUUGCUGUUUCCAAUCUUAUUGCUUAACCCAAUAAAUUUUCCAUCGCUGAUCCUUUACAUUACUCCAAGAUAUCUUUCGUCCUUUUGUGGGAUACAAAGCAGUGAGGCUUGUGAGCAAAGAGUCCAAACAUGUAUGUGGGGGAGGAUUAUUGUAAACAAUUACUUUUCUUAGUCAUUCUGUUUUUAUUGUUCACUCUGACUUGAGAUUCUUGUUGUGCUACUUGAUUUGACUUUUGGGAAGUUUAUAAUCUGUCUUCACACUAAUAUUCCGGUUUGUCCAUAAUGCAGCGUGGUGGGGACCCUCUUAUUCUUUGUUUUGUGGAUUUUGAAAAUCCAGCCUGUGCAGCAACUGCUAUGAGUGCGUUGCAAGGUGAUUGCUUUUUCUUGUCAUCAACCUUGGUGGCUAUCAGUUUCAAAGAAAGCUUGUUUCUUCCUUUUGUUUUUAUUUGUUUCCUUUAUAACUUUGUAACUGCUAUUUCAAUGGUACCUUAUUCAAUCAUGUAAAUGGUAAAUUUAUGCUAGAAUUCUUCAUGCAUAGCCAGGUGUAAAGAGGAUGAGGCAGUUCACAAAAAUGUUAUAGAUGGUUUCUUGUAAUUGGAGUUUAUGAUACCUCUACACUCUAGAUCCUGUAGAACUAGCUUGCGUUGCUCAUUAUAAUUUCCCAUGCUAGUGGUUUUUGAAAUGCUGGAAGAUGCUGACAUUUGUGUUGCUUUCGCAGGUUAUGAAAUGGACGAACACGCUCCAGAUUCUAAUUACUUGCGGCUGCAGUUUUCUCGGUUCCCAGGUCCCAGGUCUGGACCUGGACGUAACAAGAGGUGAUAGGCAUUAGGUAAUGAGAAACAUCUGUGUUGACGUAAUCAAGAUUAUAUUAGCUCUUAUACAUUCCAUAUAUAUUCUCCUUUCUGUAGUGGUAACCACAUUGUACCCAGAAUAUACAAUGUUAAUUGCUCAGGCUUGGGCACACACUAACUGUAAGUACUUGUUAUGCACGCUGUUGUUUCCAGGUAGUGAAUUCAGAUAGUUUUAUAGUAGUUCUAUUUAACGGAGAUCUGAUUUUGCAUUUCCAUGGUCUACGAAAUUUACUGAAGGAAUGUUUUUAAUUCUGAAUAUCUUCUUCUCUUUGACGAAAUUUACUGAAGGAAUGUUUUUAAUUCUGAAUAUCUUCUUCUCUUUGACAAUAUACCAUGUAUAGACUACCGCAAAAUUAGUAGAGAUAGUUUCCAUACAGAUUGUUUCCAUAUUCUGGAGGACUUCCAUUGCCGGAGUAUCUUGCCACCAUAGUGUCCCGUGCCAAUGACAUAAUGUGUUGUGGAGACACUUCAAAUGGCACUAGGCAUGUGUUGUACCUGUCCCAUGAAAGUUGCUCUCCAUAUUUAGAAGCGGGAAUCAUUCUUGGGGAUGGAGAUACAUAUGAAGAAGAAUAAAACCCUAAUCAAAGGGGUGAAAUCUUCCACAUUUGAUCACCAAAUUAGGUGGCUUAAGCAUUCAAGUGCAACAUGAAAUGAACUGCCUCCGUACAAGAGUAGUUAGAAGCAAUCUGGAUGUUGCAAUCCUAAUGGGCCAAGAGUUGGAUUAUAGAACUAGAAAUGCUUGUAGUCUUAUAGAUGUGGCUAGCUGCCGAGGCACAAUCCCCUUGAAAACUAGUGGUUUUUUAGCAUGAUUUGCAGGCUUCCGUUAUAGAUAUUGUAUGGGAAGUGAUUUCCCAACUCUCUUUCUUACCUCGUACAACUCCCUUUUUUCUUAGGUUUAGGGUUGGAUAAAUUAAAGGAGAAUCAAUUAAAAGAACAAAAGGUGAAUGCAUAAGGAGAAAACGAAUGAAACCCUAAUCAAAGUUGUGAAAUCUUCCACAUUUGAUCGCCAAAUUACUGAUGGAGAUGCUGCUUUCUCCUUGUAUUUAGGGUUGGAUAAAUCAAAGGAGAAUUAAACGAAAGAAACAAAAGAUGAAUAACGUGAUUGCAGGAGGAGAAAACGGGAAUGUGAAGAUCACUACCCUAUUUAAUUUGUCUUUUAUUGUAGGUUGCACUGCCUGUAGAACUGUAGAAGAGCAAAGACAGUGCAUGAUGAGAAUAGACAGUGCAUGGUGUCAUGUCUAUUGGUGUUAGAAAUUUGAUCCGAGUCUUUCCUUUUUGGAUUACAGUGAAGGACUGAGGCUUAUGCUAUAUCGUCCCUCCCAAUGCUAAGCACUAGCUAGUGGGCUGCCGAUUACAUCACAUGGGCUUUGAACUCUGUCAAUUAUUUCAAAAGACCUUUGCCUCUUCAAUGAGAGCCUCUAACCCAUAAUCCUAUGCUCCUAGAGCUAGAGCUUCUCCCCACCCUUCUUGGCAUUAACACACAGCUGGGAUAUACUUUUGUAUCUGUUUCUUCACGUGAUUAAUGAUUCGUUUGAUUGCUUUCUUCAAAAGGCACUUAUACUGUAACUGCUUUUGUUGUAAACACUUUGAUUUUUUUUUAUUGAACAUCCAAAGUGUUACACAGAAAAAAGCACUUAAAAAGUGCCUCCUGAAAGAGCAUAUGAUAGGUGCUUCUCUAAAAAACACUAUUACGAGCCAAAAGCACUUCUAAAUUUUUUUUGCCAAGCACAACAUAAAACGCUUUUGGCUUUUAUAGAAGCAAUCUCAAACGAGCCCUAAGUAAAAAGAGGUUUAUAUAGGCCACUAGACCCAAACGAAAGAGAAAACUAAUAGUGGGCAAUGAAUUGGUUUUCGAUCUACCGUCAAAUUGGCAUAGAUUAUGAUUCUCUCCCUUCUUCUUUCCAUCCCCUCCUCUCACAUUCUCUAUUUUGUCUUUCUCUUUCUAUAAAAACUUAAUAUAAGAUGUUGACGUAGCUUAACCGUGACCGUUCAAAUAAGAGGGGAGGGAAGGGGAGGGAAGAAAAGAGGGGAGAGAAUCCUACUCCAAUUGGCACAACAUUCGGCAUUGUUUUGCAAGGAUGCUUUCUUCUUAGCAUUGAUUUACACACACUCUAGUAUGUGGUAUAAAACGAGCGAGGGUUUGGCUGGAGAACGAGUCUGAGUCGUUAAUGCCAUGUGGGCUGGAGGGUUUCAUUUGGUGCCAUUACUCCUUUUCGUGUUUCUAUCAUCCUUUUGGAACUGGAAGAGAAGUGGAGGGGAAAAAGGUAGUUUAGGGCAAAAAGGAUAUUGAGUUUAUAAACCAGGAAAAUGGCUAAGCAAUUAUUUGGUGCCAAUGUGACCCUUACCAAAAUAUAGACUAGUUGUGGUAAAAAAGAAAAAGGCAAAAGGGGGUAACUUUAAAUACAAAUUGUACCAAAGUGUAAAUUGUCCCACAGCUUGUCCAGGGACCAGAUCAUUGAGUUGUUGCUGCAAGCCUGCAAGGAGAAAGUUGUGGAUUAGAUAGACGCAUCGUCUUCGUUUGGUAUCAUUCCAAGUCGUCCUGGGUGUUUCUUCUUCAAUUUGGCCUCUUUCUUCCUUUGGAUUUUUGAGCUCAUGAGCAAAUUGAUUGUCGUUUUCUGUUUCCUGAAGACAAAAUUUGACUGUUUGAAAAAACACUUUUUCAUGAAAAAUUAGUUUGAAAUCUAUUCUACACCUAAAUGGACAUCAAUCAUUAAUUUUGUGUUAACUAAGAAUGUAUGUAUGAAUUCUUGUAUUAGGAUUUAGUAGUAUCUCUCUUUAUUUUUAAGUGAGAAACCUUAAGUUUGAUUCUCAUAAAUUACGAGUUCGAAACCAAACUCUUCUCGGCCCAUUAGUGUAACUCUGUUAGGCUUUCAUCCCUGAUAUCGUUGUAUAACAAAACUAUAUGCAUGAAUUAUUACUUGAGGACGGAGGAAAAAACAAAUUCACUUGACUUAUUUCCAAAUUAAGGCUUUAUUUCUUCCUGAUUUUAGAAUUACCUGAUUAUCUAGCCUAUGCUCAUACCACAUUGAACUUCAACGAUUCAAACUGUUUAUUUUUUAAGUUGCACCUCAUAGAUCAUUUUUGUGAAAUAUUAGCUAAAUUAAAAAUAUAUGAGGUAUCUAAUUGAGUACAAAAAAAAAUUGACGAACACUAUAUAUUCUAAGAAGCAUAUGAAAUUUCAUCUUAACAAUUAAAUAGGCAAAUAAUUUCGGAUUGAAUUAAAUUUUUGUAAGGAUUGUCUAUUAAUUAAGACUUAUAAAAUAGAAGGUACAUAUCGUUGAAAUUUAAUAUACUGUAAGCUCCACAACUAAUCCUCAUUUAAAAAAAAUAGAAAUCCCUUGUUAAGGCAUGUGCUUUUGAGUAGGUAAAAUUUGAAACGUGAGAUGUCGUUCACUAUGGAAACAAAGAUCGAAAGCCUUCAUGGUCCCAUUCCUUGAAUCAGAACAAAAGAACUUUAAAGAAAAGUCCUUUAACUCUGUCCAACUUUGGAUACUUUUGUUCAUGCAUGCAUUCACUGACUGAUCUGAUCUCGUUGUUUUGAAGGGAAGAGAUUUUUCAGUGUAAUCGGUAUAUGAGUUGGUACAUCACUUGUUAAUAUACAAAUGAUGAGAUAUAUGUGUUAAAAAGUUAAUAACUUAAAAAAUAAAAUUUUCCACCACUUACAUAAAAACAUGUGAUAUACUACUUGUAUUUCCGUCACAAUGAAAAAUUUCUCCUUGAAGGAUAAGAGAGGAAAUUCCAGACUAAACUACGUGGCACUACAUGCAGCAUGUCAAUUACAUCAACUCUUCAAGCUUUCAACCCUUUCAUGGCAUCUUCAAAGCAUAUGCCUAACUUCUUAGAAAUAUGACCAACAUCUAACAUUUUUGUAAUCCAUAAAGAAAUACAUACGUUAACAUUUAGAAACAAAAUCCAGACAAUAAGAGAGAGAUGGCUGUCCAGAAAAAAAGUAAGAGACAGAUGCAUCCAUUGAUAUAAAAAAGAAAGAAAAAAGAGAUGCAUCAACAACUCAAUAUUUAUUACCUAUUGAAUCGCAGUUUUACAUACAUAUCAUUGCUAAUGAGAUUGGCACUAUUAGUUAUCGAGGACAUAGCAAUCUGUAUUGUAUUUACAAUUAUAUGAGUUAAACUUCAUACAUCCUCCGAUUAAAUGACAAUAACUACUAUAAAAAUGUUUAUAUGUAAGUAGGCUACAUAAAUACACAUAAACAAAUAAGUUCUUGUAUAUAUGCUAUACUUUGAUUUGUUUAUAACAGGAAAAGGUUCCACAUUAUUGCUAGCUAGGCUAAGCUCACAUCCCUCUCACUUAAUGUAGAUAAUAUCAUUUGUUAAAAAUAAAAAAAAGACUCAACAAGGAAUCACUAUUUGUUUCUUUAUAACCAUAAAUUUAUGUAGAGCAACCGAUUGAGUAUCUCAAAGUUCUUAUUCGUAUACAACACACGUUGAGACAGGUAAUAAUUAUAACAAAAUUAAAGACUAUAAUCUUAUAACGUUUUUAGAUUAGCUAAAACAUUGGUAUACAUAUUUAGCUUGCUAAAAACAUAUGUCGAAAUGUGCCACACCUGGAGGAUUUGUAACAAAUUCAUCGUUUUAGAACAAUAAGAAAUGACACGUUGCCUGUAAGAAUUUUAUAGUUUGUUGAAUGCCAUCAACAUCCAUCACGUUUGAAAAUAUGGGCGGCAUUGUCUGGGUUGUAAGACCCCUAUAUUCGUUUGUUCCUGUGCUAAACAAGGAUGGCCUCCCUUGCCCUCCUCUUUAGAUUUCUGUUAGGAUGAGAUUAAGGUGACUUGGGGCUUGUUCCAAGUUUGUGUUUUCUACCUUCUUCUCAUUGUGUAGUUCUUGUUGGUCUCUCUAGGCCUUCUGUUUCUUUUGGCUUCGGCCCUGGUAUUGAUUUUCCCAGUUUCUCAAAAAAAAAAAAAAAAAAAAGUUAUGGGAGUCCCUCUCUCACAUUAAUAAAGUCUGGACCCAAGAAAAAGCAAAAGGAUCCGGCAAGGAUCCGUUUGCCGGAUCCUUUUCCACAGGUUUGGGUACAUUAAUGAUCACUACAAGAAAAAGGAAAAGGAUCCGGCAAUAAAGUUUGGACCCAAGAAAAAGGAAAGGGAUCCGGCAGGGAUCCGUUUGUUGGAUCAUUUCAAAAUUUAAAAUUUAAAAUUAAAUAUAAAUAAUACCUACAAAAACUGACCGCACAAUGUAUGAUGAACGAUCACGAUCACGGGAUCCCUAGGAAAAGAAUCCGGCGAGGAUCCUUUUCCCGAGAAAAGUAGGCUUUAGUCACGAUUUGUUAAGAUUAAUCUAACCUAAAAGCUAUACCACAUUCUAAACACAAAAUUUGGUAAGAAUAUGAUGAUUUAUUUUAUUUUCUCAAACUAUAGAGCAGUUACGUACUCACACACCGGCGACAAUUAUCCUCCCCCAAAUCUGGGUAUAUUUCUACUAAAAAAAAUGUUUACAUAUAGAAACCGUAUAGUAAGUUUAUUGAAAUUGGCUCUGUAUUAAUGGAAUCUCCGCAUCCGUACAUUAAAUUAGAGUGGAACUCGAGGAAAUGGAGUACAUACGAAGAUAAGAAGACGAAGAAGAAAACUACAAACUUGGAGCUUCAAGGAGAGGGACUGAGCAGGGAGUAUAAAGAAAACAUUGUAUUUUUCUUCGAAGAUCUUUCACAUUUUCUUCUUGGUUUCAAGGAGAGGGAACUGAGCAGGGAGUAUAAAGAGCCAAAGCCCAGAAUUCCACAAUGAAAAAGAAAACAUUGUAUUUUUCUUCGAAGAUCCUUCACAUUUUCUUCUUCGCUUUACAGAAUCAAAUAGCAUAUUCUCACCCCCAAGAAACGAUAUAAGAAAACAGCCAAAUUAAGGUAAAUUCGAUAUAAUGCAUUUUUUUAUAGCAACUUGGCAAACAAAAACAUAGUAGAAGAAAACAAGGAAUAUACAAAGAAAUUAAGGAAGUUUGGGAAAACGAAGAAAUAUAAUAAAGGACCAACUCUCAAUGAGUUUAUAAUACUAUAUACGGUGCAAAUGUAUAUGUUCAGGAAAUAAACUUUUAGCGAAAAUAAGCUGCAAAUUUGACUAAAUUUUUCUUCAUAUUUACACUCAAUUUUUUUCAAGAAUAUAUAUAGAGUUUGGCCAAAGGAAUUAACUUCGUUCCUUAACGAUUGAGGAGGAGUUCCUCCCCAAUUCACAUUGUGGCUGAUUAUGGACCUUCAUUCUUAUAAUCGGAAGAGUAUAGAAACUACUCUUUUUAUCGUCGAAUCCGGAAGGAAGAAGUGGUUGUAGCUUUGAAGAAGAUGAAGCAUAAAAAAGCAAUAGGCCCAGACGAUAUACCAAUCGAAGUGUGGAAACUUUUGGGAGAGACGGGUAUAACAUGGCUCACUGACCUUUUCAAUAGGAUUUUGAAAACGAAGAAGAUGCCAAAUGAGUGGCGAACGAGCACUUUGGUGCCUAUCUACAAGAAUAAGGGCGACGUACAAAAUUGCAUGAACUAUAGGGGUAUUAAGCUAAUGAGUCAUACAAUGAAGCUCUGGGAGAGAGUCAUUGAGCAUAGAUUGAGGCAAGAGACACGGGUUUCGGACAACCAAUUCGGGUUCAUGCCAGGGCGCUCAACCAUGGAGGCAAUCUAUCUCUUACGAAGAUUGAUGGAAAGAUAUAGAGAUGGGAAAAAGGAUUUACACAUGGUCUUUAUAGAUUUGGAAAAAGCGUAUGAUAGGGUCCCAAGAGACAUUCUUUGGAGGAUUUUAGAGAAGAAAGGAGUACGAGUAGCAUAUAUCCAAGCUAUAAAGGAUAUGUAUGAAGGAGCAAAGACUGCCGUAAGAACUCAUGAAGGACAAACCGAAAGCUUUCCCAUAACUGUAGGAUUACAUCAAGGCUCAUCCUUAAGUCCUUACCUUUUUGCGUUGGUAAUGGAUGAGUUAACAGGACAUAUUCAAGAUGAUAUUCCUUGGUGUAUGCUUUUCGCAGACGAUAUAGUGUUGAUAGAUGAAACUCAGGAAGGGGUAAAUGCAAAGCUUAACCUUUGGAGAGAAGUGUUGGAAUCUAAAGGUCUUCGCCUAAGCCGAUCAAAGACAGAAUAUAUGGAGUGCAAGUUCAGUGCAAAUGGAGGCCAAAACGAGUUAGGGGUGAGGAUCGGAGAUCAAGAAAUACCAAAGAGCGACCGUUUUCGUUACCUAGGAUCUAUCUUGCAAAAGAACGGAGAAUUAGAUGGAGAUCUCAACCAUAGAAUACAAGCUGGAUGGAUGAAGUGGAAGAGUGCAUCCGGCGUGUUGUGUGACCGCCGUAUGCCACUGAAGCUCAAGGGAAAAUUUUAUAGGACGGCAAUAAGGCCGGCGAUGCUGUAUGGCACAGAAUGUUGGGCGGUGAAACAUCAACACGUACACAAAAUGGGUGUAGCGGAGAUGAGGAUGCUUCGUUGGAUGUGUGGGCACACGAGAAAGGAUAAGAUUAGGAAUGAGGAUAUCCGGGGUAAAGUAGGAGUAGCCGAAAUUGAAGGAAAGAUGAGAGAAAAUCGGUUACGGUGGUUUGGACAUGUGCAAAGAAGGCCUACUGACGCUCCGAUUAGAAGAUGCGACUAUGGGACAGAGGUUCAGGGCCGAAGGGGUAGAGGAAGACCUAGGAAAACUUUGGAAAGAGACUCUAAGAAAAGACUUAGAGUACUUGGAUCUAACGAAGGACAUGACACAGGAUCGAGCACAAUGGCGUUCUAAGAUUCAUAUAGCCGAUCCCACUCAGUGACUUGGAUUUUCCAAGUCUCCAACCGAGAAGUUUUCCUCACUCGGGAAAUUAAGGGAACACUACCCCAACCUACAUGCUCCACUCAGAAAGCUUCAACAUACAAGCUUCAACAAAAGAAAAUUCAAAGAACUUAGCGAAGAAGGCUUUGGUGUAUUUAACACAAUACGUUGAAAUGAAGGAAAGCUUAUUUAUUGAUAUCCCCGAUAAGCUACAAAUAUGUACAUAUACAUGAGUCAAAAUAAACACACAAGAGGGAGCCUUCACAAAGGUUGCUUAGGAGAAGUCUCAGCAGUCGGUAGAGCCCCAGAAAGAGAAGGCACCGGAGGGGGAUCAUUUGGAGCCUCAGUACUGGACAGAACCCUAGAAGGAGGAGGCAUCAGAGGUUGAUCAUUUGGAGCUUCAUUACGCGGUACAGCCCCAGAAGACGAAGGCAAUAAAUGCCUUUGGAACAAACCCACAAAUCUCUGAUGAUCAAGUAAAACCUGACCAUCAGUUUCCUUCAUCUGGUCAAGCUUCCUCUUCAUGUUUGUAGCAUAGUCAUGUGCGAGCCGGUGCAACUGUUUAUUCUCAUGCUUGAGCCCUCUAAUCUCCUGUUUGAGACUCAUCACUUCAGCCGCCAAUGAUUCAACUUGGCGGGUUCGAGCAAAUAGGCGUUGGGCCAUAUUAGACACAGAACCUGCACACUGAACACUGAGAGCCAGCGAAUCCUUAACAGCUAACUCAUCAGACCGUUUGGAAAGUAGUCUGUUAUCUUUGGGAGUGAGAAGGUUCCUGGCCACCACCGCAGCGGUCAUAUCAUUCUUCAUCACGGAAUCCCCAACGGUAAGAGGACCAGUAGGGGAGACGAAGGAUGGGCGCCAUAUGUUGUCUGGAGAAGGCGGGGCUGCCUCUUCAACAAGGUUCAAGUCAAAACGACGGUCGGAGGGGCCAGACAUUUUCAAAGGUGUUGAAGAGAGAAGAGGUCGGACAAAUCAAGAUCUUAGAAGUGCAAGAAUGAAGCUUCUACUGGUGGAGAUUCAAGUGUGCUUUGGAACUUAAUGCCAGCCCCUAUAAAAAUCUGCACUCGACGGAGCUCGCCUGCUCAGAAAUCGAAGAGGCGUUUGCUUUCUCAAAAGCUGGGCUGCUUAGAGAUCACGAGGGUUGAUCUCAGAAAUCGAAGAGGCGUUUGCUUUCUCAAAAGUUGGGCUGCUCAAAGACCACGAAGGCCGAUCUCAGAAAUCGAAGAGGCGCUCGCUUUCUCAAAAGCUGGGCUCCCCAGAGACCACGAGGGCCGAUCUCAGAAAUCGAAGAGGCACCUACUUUUCCAGCCUUGUCAGCACCUGUCACACGCACACUCAGCUUUGCGGAAAUUAUGGGCAUUCUGUCGAAGACUUCUGGGGAAGUAGAAAACACAUGAAUCUUACUGUUCAAUCACCCACUUCCCACACGCAACAAUAGCUCAUGGGUACCACAGAUAACUUUGCCAAAGUUCUCUGCCAAAGUUGAGCACGUGAAGCUUGCAGCUCCCACUACAUCGCUCUGACCAAGAAGGGUAAAAGAAUAGCAAAGAAACAGCACUAACAAAGUUUAGACCCAUAAAUUUUGAAGGUCUAGCUACCAUAUUAUUACCCACAAGGGUAAAGGAACAGUACCACUGCUGGAUAAUUGGAAAGUCCCUGUGUGUCAACCUCUGUGCUUCGUGGCAAGGUAGACUAGCAAACAUGCCCAACCUUUACUCACAUUCGAGAAAACACUCCCAAUAAGAUUGCUUGCUCCAAAAUCGAAGAGGCACCGUCCUCCGAAUCUCGAGAGCCAGACUCCCAACAUGACUACUUUCUUAAAAAUCGAAGAGAGGGUAAAGGAACAGUACCAUUGCUGGAUAAUUGGAAAGUCCCUGUGUGUCAACCUCUGUGCUUCGUGGCAAGGUAGACUAGCAAACAUGCCCAACCUUUACUCACAUUCGAGAAAACACUCCCAACAAGAUUGCUUGCUCCAAAAUCGAAGAGGCACCGCCCUCCGAAUCUCGAGAGCCAGACUCCCAACAUGAUUACUUUCUCAAAAAUCGAAGAGACACUGCUCCCCGAAUCUUCGAGAGCCAGACCCCCAGCAUGAUUGCUUUCUCAAAAAUCGAUGAGGCAUCGUUCUCCGAAUCAAUCGAAGAGGCGCUCGCUUUCUCAAAAGCUGGGCUGCUCAGAGACCACGAGGGCCGAUCUCAGAAAUCGAAGAGGCACCUACUUUUCUAGCCUUGUCAGCACCUGUCACACGCACACUCAGCUUUGCAGAAAUUAUGGGCAUUCUGUCGAAGACUUCUGGUGAAGUAGAAAGCACAUGAAUCUUACUGUUCAAUCACCCACUUCCCACACGCAACAAUAGCUCAUGGGUACCACAGAUAACUUUGCCAAAGUUCUCUGCCAAAGUUGAGCACGUGAAGCUUGCAGCUCCCACUACAUCGCUCUGACCAAGAAAGGUAAAAGAAUAGCAAAGAAACAGCACUAACAAAGUUUAGACACAUAAAUUUUGAAGGUCUAGCUACCAUAUUAUUACCCACAAGGGUAAAGGAACAGUACCACUGCUGGAUAAUUGGAAAGUCCCUGUGUGUCAACCUCUGUGCUUCGUGGCAAGGUAGACUAGCAAACAUGCCCAACCUUUACUCACAUUCGAGAAAACACUCCCAACAAGAUUGCUUGCUCCAAAAUCGAAGAGGCACCGUCCUCCGAAUCUCGAGAGCCAGACUCCCAACAUGACUACUUUCUCAAAAUCGAAGAGAGGGUAAAGGAACAGUACCAUUGCUGGAUAAUUGGAAAGUCCCUGUGUGUCAACCUUUGUGCUUCGUGGCAAGGUAGACUAGCAAACAUGCCCAACCUUUACUCACAUUCGAGACAACACUCCCAACAAGAUUGCUUGCUCCAAAAUCGAAGAGGCACCGCCCUCCGAAUCUCGAGAGCCAGACUCCCAACAUGAUUACUUCCUCAAAAAUCGAAGAGACACUGCUCUCCGAAUCUCGAGAGCCAGACCCCCAGCAUGAUUGCUUUCUCAAAAAUCGAAGAGGCAUCGUUCUCCGAAUCUCGAGAGCCAGAUACCACAGACCACUUUUUCAAAGUGCUCUGACAGAGUUAAAACAUGUGAAACUGGCAGCUCCCACUACCGUGCUAUGACCAAGCAGGGUAAAGGAAUAGCAUUACUACUUGUUGUUAGGGAGACUCCUAUAUAUGUCGACCUCCAUCCCCAACGGACAGGCAGACCUGCAAAAAUGCUCAACCCUUCAUCAUAUCUGAGAGGGCACUCCCAACGAAGCCUUUCGAAAUAUUCAGCUUUCUUUCCCCCCGAUAAUACCUCUGCAAACAAGCUAUACUAGAGCAAGAAUAUCUCAUAUCAUCAGGGUUAAAAGCAAGAGUAUCCCAUAUCAUGCUUUUUCCCUGUCUUUUCCUUUGGCCUUGUUUUUACCUGCAAGACAAGGAGAAAGAGAGCAAUCAGUCAGCACUUGGAAUCAAGCUUCCAGCCAGGAACUGACUGCCUGGAACCCCUUACCUGAUUACUUACCUGGCAUUGCUCUCGAGUACUCAUCUUCAACAUCUUAUGUUUCCAGGGAAGAUUCCGCAUCUGCUUGAGGAACAGAUAGGGCAAGUGCGAAGGAUACAAGGAAGCAUGUGGAGACAAGCGUAACAGCACACGUGCCGAUACAUCCAUUACUCUGUCAAAAGCAAAAGUAUCCCAUAUCAGCAGGGUGGAACGUACUCUAGAUUUGAUGGACUUGUUUUGACCCUCAAAUUCUUCAGUCGGCCUUAUACUCUGGAGGAAACCAGAAAACCCUCCAGCUCAGUUCAAGAAUAAGCCUGUGGAAAGUUACUUCUUCAAAAGCAAAAGUAUCUCAUAUCAUCUCUUCUCAUUUUUCUUCUCUUUAUCCUUCAUGCUGCUGCAAGAUGGGGAGAAGGUGAACAAUCAGUCGGAGCUCUGAUUGCUUACCUUGUCUGUCACCUCUUUCAGCAGACCCCCUAGCUCGGCGACUUGGGGGACUCCUACUACAUGGUUUGUAUCGCGCUUGACCAAGCCUGAAACUACAAGUAAGCUUCAAGUGAAAUUGAUACAUUACCUUGUGCAUCUCCACCAGUUAAAGAUACCACCCCUGGAUGGAGGAAGAGUACUUCCAGAGAAGAUGCCACAUCUACCUAUGAGACAGAUAAGGCAAGUCAAGACGACACCACACUCCGAUACUUAGAAGUUUCGUGAUUACGAGAUCAUUCUCCCACAAUAUUUCCUAAUGUCAUUUGUACUAAAUCAUUCACUUGUACUCACUAAAGGAGAGCUUGAACCUAUGUACUUGUGUAAACCCUUCACAAUUAAUGAGAACUCUUCUAUUCCGUGGACGUAGCCAAUCUGGGUGAACCACGUACAUCUUGUGUUUGCUUUCCUAUCUCUAUCCAUUUAUAUACUUAUCCACACUAAUGACCGGAGCAAUCUAGCGAAGAUCACAAAAAGCGACCGUUUUCGCUACCUAGGAUCUAUCUUGCAAGAGAACGGAGAAUUAGAUGGAGAUCUCAACCAUAGAAUACGAGCUGGAUGGAUGAAGUGUAAGAGUGCAUCCGGCGUGUUGUGUGACCGUCGUAGGCCACUGAAGCUCAAGGGAAAAUUUUAUAGGACGGCAAUAAGGCCAGCGAUGUUGUAUGGCACAGAAUGUUGGGCGGUGAAGCAUCAACACGUACACAAAAUGGGUGUAGCGGAGAUGAGGAUGCUUCGUGGGAUGUGUGGGCACACGAGAAAGGAUAAGAUUGGGAAUGAGGAUAUCCGAGGUAAAGUAGGAGUAGCCGAAAUUGUAGGAAAGAUGAGAGAAAAUCGGCUCCGGUGAUUUGGACAUGUGCAAAGAAGGCCGAAUGACGCUCCGGUUCGAAGAUGUGACUACGGGACAGAGGUUCAGGGCCGAAGGGGUAGAGGAAGACCUAGGAAAACUUUGGAAGAGACUCUAAGAAAAGACUUAGAGUACUUGGAUCUAACGGAGGACAUGACACAAAACCGAGCGCAAUGGCGUUCUAGGAUUCAUAUAGCCGACCCCACUUAGUGGGAAAAGGCUUUGUUGUUGUUGUUGUUGUUGUAUUCUUAUAAUCGGAAUUAUUCAUAUUAUAAAUUACUGUGUCAAUAUCAUCUCCACAAAAAAAAUCAAUUAAAUAUAAGAUCGUUUGGUCAUGAAACUGUGUAAAAAUAGAUGAACCGAUCCGGUACAUGAAUUCCGAAACUUCUAUCUACUUGCUAUAAUUUAUUGACUAAACAAUCUUAGUUUUAAUUAAUUUUUUUUAGAGAUGAUCUUUAAUUAUAAAGUAAUUUAUAAUAUGAAUGAUUCUGAUCAUAAGUACGAACUUCUUCUCAAUCUUGAGAAGCCAAGCCUUCCUCAAAAGUUAAAUAAAAAACAAAACCAAAAUGAUGCUCGGCUUCCUGGGUACUCAGCUAAACUCUCCACCUCCUUUCAUCUUACAAGCUUCUAGAUUUAGAUUUGUCUCAAAUGACAUGCCAACUAAUCUGCCCAGCUCAAUUUUGAUUCUUUGAAAUUUCCAGUGCCUCUACUUUUUCAUUUCUAAAUCUUACUUACUCCCAUUAUAUAUAAUUAGUUUUUUUUAUAUAUAUAGAUUUAUAAAGAUGCUUUGUCUAGAUAUGAAAGACAUAGUAGUGAUUCAAAGAGAUCAUUUGGAGCCAAAAAUAGUUAGGUGUAGUCAAAUUCGGAUUUGAGAGUAUUUUAAAAGACUUUAAAAUCCUAGUAUAGUCAAUUAAAAGAUUUUAAAGGAUUUUAAACUCUAUCCAAAUCUAAGUGUAUUAAAAAAAUUAAGAUUUUGGAGGAUUUCAAUAAGUUGUGGAUUUUGUAGGAUUUGAAAGCAAGAAGUAUGUCACAGUCCCGGAGAUGUACGUUAAUUAUUUAUCGGAGGUGUGAAAAGUCGGAGUUACCCCUGGACGUUGAGUUGUAUUAUUGGUUUAAUUGUGUUUUUGGACCAAUAUUAUUAAAUCCUAAUUGUUUGGAAUCAAUUAGGAUUAGAGUUUGGUGUAUUGUGGGUUGUUGACUAUUUUGGACCACACAUCACUCCAUUCUCUCUCUCACUCCCGUGCACUCUCUCUCGGUUUCACUCUCUCUCUCCUUUGAACUCGUACGGACAAUCACCCAAAACCCUUGAAACUUCACGGAUCGUGGUCAAGGUUGGCACCAUUGUGUUCGUGAAGCUCAGACGAGUCGAUUGGUACCCAUUUCAGGUAAAGAUACCUUCGAAAACCCUAGUUUUUCAUAACCCCCGAUUUGUGCAUUGUUCAUGCACACGUAAUUAUGGAUGGUUUUGGAAUUUGAAGCUUGUAGGAAGCUUAGUGAGGUCCUAAGGAAGCUCGAAGUGCUUCGUUUGAAGGUUUUGGACGUUGGGAUCGUGUGGAUGAAGUUUGGCCAGUUUUUCUUGGAAUUCUCCGGUGAGAUCCCGUGACUUUUAAAACUUUAAAUUAGUAUGAUUGUGUUCUACAAGUUAAGAGCUUCAUUUUGGUAUAAAUUGCGUAAAAAAUGGUGCAAAAAUGAGCAAUAAAUAGGCAGUUGCAGGUUUGCCCAAAAUCCGGUGCCGGUGACACUAUUCCAGCAUCUGGAGGUUGAAGAUGCCGCGCGUGGGGGGCGCGUUUUGCCAUGCCCUUGCCGGAUGAUUGUGUUCUACAAGUUAAGAGCUUCAUUUUGGUAUAAAUUGCGUAAAAAAUGGUGCAAAAAUGAGCAAGAAAUAGGCAGUUGCAGGUCUGCCCAAAAUCCGGUGCCAGUGACAUUAUUCCGGCGUCUGGAGGUUGAAGAUGCCGCGCGUGGGAGGCGCGUUUUGCCGUGCCCUUGCCAGCGCAUGGGAGCUUGAAAAUUUUAUCUAAAAAUUUAGGGAUGAUCCUGAGGUUGUAUAGGUCACUGUGGUGUAUUCAUAUACCUAUUUUGAGCAAUGUAUGAAAAGUUAUUAGUUAGUUUCACCUAUGUGCUUUAAAAUAACGUUUUUAUAGUUAAUUCGCAUAUAGGUGAGGCUUAUCCCAAGGACGAGCGUAUCCACGGGCGACUCGGGGGCUACGACCCUUCGACAUACCAGUGAGUGGGAUUUUGUUUUCAGUAUAUACUUAUACACUAGAUAUAUUUCCUAGAAAUGCAUUUUUUUCAAGGAAACUAUGCUUUGAAAUAGUAUGCCAAAUGCUUUUAUAUUCUGAAUAUGCAUUUCAUGGUUGCAUAUAUAUAUAUAUAUAUAUAUAUAUAUAUAUAUAUAUGUGGUGUUGUGGAGGCACAGGUAAGUUCAGGUAAGUUAUGUUUGGUUAUAUGAAUCAUCGAUAAAGUGAUAUGUGAUUGAAUAAUGUUGAGCUUAUAAAACUGCACCUAAGGUGAUUGUGAUUUAGCCAGAGAUGUGAAGUACAUGCCUGUUUAUUUACGUCACCUCCCGCACUAUAUGCUCAUAUUGGAUCUAAUUUAAGUGCACAGUUUUGUCGUACAGACCUUAUUUAUGGUUCCGACUCGUAGGUGACUAGCGAUUUAUCGCCCGGCUAUUAUGAGAGAGUAAAAUUGAGCAUAAUUAUAUUACACCCAAUCUUGUCUUACAGACCCCUUUUUAGUGGUUCCGACUUAUGUGCAGUACAUUGCCGUAUAGGUCAUUGUAGUGACUCCGGCUAGAUUGACUUUGAGCUAUGAAUUCAACCGUACAGACUAUCACAGGGGUUCCGGCUAACAUAUCAUAUUUCUAUGAAUUUAUUCUUACCUGAAUUGUUUACUCUGUUAUAACUUGGCAUAACAUACAUUUAAAUAUGAUUAUGUGAAGCAUGAAUUGAAUUGAUAUGAUUUCAUAUAUAUAUAUAUAUAUAUAUAUAUAUAUAUAUAUAUUAUGUAUAUGCUUAUAUCUUGGUUUUGGGAAAAAUUAUACAUGUUUGACAGCGAGGGGUUAGUAUAUUGAUAAAUGAAAUGGUUUUGUAAAACAUUUGUUUUUGCCCACUCACGUUUUCUGUUUUGCUCCCUUCCAGGUUUUAACUAAGCUUGCUGUUGGUGGCUUGAGGACGUCGGCAGUUUUGACUUAUCUAAAUAAUAGUAGGACAUUGCUGGUACUGUAUAGCUAGUACUUGUCUUACUGGACUACACCUAGACUUUAUGCUCUGAUUAGGAGUGUUUACUGUUGUAACUAACUUCUAUCACUUUCUGUUUAGUAGUGCACUCUAGUAAAUUGGUUUUCAAUUAUUCGUAUAAUUCUUAUCAUUAUCGCUUCCGCACUGUGCACAUGGCUACGCACCCUCACGUGACGGUCAUCAUGGCUUGAUCUCGGUCGGGGUGUGUCAAAGUAUAUAUAACCAAGACUAAAAAUAAUCCAACCUCACCCUCUAGAAUUUCAAAUCAUUUUCCAUCUGAGCAGUCCUCAGAUCUCUACCAACCCCAGCUACACACAGGUAACCACCAUAUACUUUGGUGGAAUCUCUUAUUAUGACCCUUAGACUUUAAUUAGGCAUGUAUGAUCAUCGAAGGACAUGAUCGAUCUAGGAUUUUGGUUAAUACUACUCUCACACCAUUUUGAUUUUUUUUAAUGUUUGUGGUACUACAAGCACUAUUAAAGUACCACAGCAUCCAUUUGUGGGAAAAUGGCAGUCGGUGGUGAUGGUUGUUGGUGGUUUAGUGCUCAAAAGCUCACCAAAGUUAUAUUGAUCUAUCAAUUGAGAAAGAGAUAGAGCCGUGGUUGUGUGAAAGGGGACCCGAAAAGGGAGGGGAUAAAGUGGUUAUCGAGUACAGUAGGGCAAGGGGAAAGAUUUUUCCUUUUAUUUUCAAUUAAAAAAUUAUAUUAAUAUUAUCACAUCCCAUGCUCGACUCCACCGUAGCACGAUAUUGUCCGCUUUAGGCCCCGACCACGACCACAUGGUUUUGUUUUUGUGAACUCACGCGAGAACUUCCUAGUGGGUCACCCAUCUUGGGAUUGCUCUCGCGCGAACUCGCUUAACUUUUGAGUUCCGAUGGAAUCCGAAGCCAGUGAACUCCCAAAAAGCCUCGUGCUAGGUAGAGAUGAGAAUAUACAUAUAAGGCUUAGAGGAUCCACUCCCCUGGGCGAUGUGGGAUGUUACAAUCCACCCCCCUUAGGGGUCCGAUGUCCUCGUCGGCACACUUCCGACUAGAGAUUGGCUCUGAUACCAAAUUGUCAUAUCCCGGCCCGGGCCCCCACCACAUCCCAAGCUCGACUCCAUCGUAACAUGAUAUUGUCCGUUUUGGGCCCCGACCACACCUUCACGGUUUUGUUUCUAGGAACUCACACGAGAACUUCCCAGUGGGUCACUCGGUUUUGUUUCUAGAAACUCACAUGAGAACUUCCCAGUGGGUCACCCAUCUUGGAAUUGCUCUCGCGCGAACUCGCUUAACUUCGAAGUUCUGAUGGAACUCGAAGCCAGUGAGCUCCUAAAAGGCCUCGUGCUAGGUAGAGAUAAGAAUAUACAUAUAAGGCUUAGAGGAUCCACUCCCCUAGGCGAUGUGGGAUGUUAUAAUCCACCCCCCUUAGGGGCCCGACGUCCUCGUCAACACACUUCCGACUAGAGAUUGGCUCUGAUACCAAAUUGUCACAUCCCGGUCCGGGCCCCCACCACAUCCCAGGCUCGACUCUAUCGUAGCAUGAUAUUGUCCGUUUUGGGCCCCGACCACGCCCUCACGGUUUUGUUUCUAGGAACUCAGGCGAGAACUUCCUAGUGGGUCACCCGGUUUUGUUUCUGGGAACUCACACGAGAACUUCCCAGUGGGUCACCCAUCUUGGAAUUGCUCUUGCGCGAACUUGCUUAACUUCGGAGUUCCGAUGGAACCCAAAGCCAGUGAGCUCCCAAAAAGCCUCGUGCUAGGUAGAGAUGGGAAUAUACAUAUAAGGCUUAGAGGAUCCACUCCCCUGGACGAUGUGGGAUGUUACAGUAAUAUCAAUAACUUAUUGUUGGGUUCGUUAAGCAAGUGGGCAAUUAGGUCCGUUUAUGAGAGCAUAGGUGAAAUCUUUCGAUGUCGACUAGCACAGCUCAAUUCGGAGUCCUAGUGGACAUUCUGGGUUGGUGUCCAAAAUCCACCACAAUCCACCAAAAUCUACAAACUAAAACUAUUCAAAUUCUUUAAAAUCCAUAUGAAUUUUGUAAAAGUCUUAAAUCCUCCUAAACCCUAUCAAAUUUAUCACUUUUAAAAUCCUUUAAAAUCUUAGUUUGACUACACCCCCUUAGUAUUUUAAAUUGGCUUUACUACAUUGCACAUUGAGAUGAAUUUUUAAAAUGUCCAUCUAGCUUAGCUAGCUACCAUGAAAGCUACAUGAAAGCUGACUGUCAAUUUUCCAAGGGUUUUUCCACAUGAAAUGGCAUGAAAUGGGUUAAUUUCACUUUAAAUAGUUGAUAUAAAAUGAAAACAAAAGUACAACUGGUUGAGAACCUUCCUUUCAUGUUCUCCGUAUCUUAGAGGAUAACAACAGUAGCAAGUUAGGCUGGAUCAAAUACAAGAAUGAACAUGAGAACGUGCAUGCAUGGUUACCUUUUCCUUUUGUUUUUUACAGAGAAUCUUGAGAAGCAGUCAAGGGCAACGUUAUGUUUUUACUACUGAGAUCUGUGUGCUAAAAGGAGAUUACGUAGCUAGGUUCAGUCUUCACCUAACACUCCUAUUAUCACUUGUGACUGUAAAAGAUAUACUGUUGGGGUUGGCUGACGUUAAUUAGUUGUUCAUAUUGAUUUGAGAAAUUUGAUAGAAAUGAGGAUUAACGAAUUACAAUUAGAGCUGGCAAAUAGUUGGGUUUAGUUGGUUUGGGUUAGAUUCACCACUAAUUGAUUUCUACACGGGUCAUUCAAAUUCAAUCCAUUAGCUUAUGCAAUGGUGGAGCGAUGAAUUUUUCACCGGGUGAGCUAGCUUAAAGAUUUAAAUAUUUAUAAAAAAAAAACAUGAUACUGUAUUUUCACCGUAUUAGCUAACUAAAGAAAAUUUUGACAAGGUGAGCCAAGAAUAAACAAAUACUUGUUUAAAUUCAAACAAAUCCAAACUUGUACAUAUACAAGAAUUGAUGAGAAAAAAAGAAUGUAAGAAAAAGAGAUGGUUUGUAAACUGUAUUUUAUAAUUUUAUAUAGUCAAACCGAGAGAAUUUGGAUCAGUGACUAAUAUAUGGUGGACUACAUUCGAAAAUUAAUAAAAAUUACAUGUCAAAUUUUAUUUUUGGGCUAUAGCCCAAAAUAGCCCUUAACAUGGCUCUGCCAGUGAGCUUAUGGUAAAAAUGGUUGACCCGAAAUGACUUGUUUUGUUAACGAGCUAAUCAUUUCAUCCAGUAACGAUUUUUUUUUUUUUUUUUUUUUUUUUUAACAUUCAGCUGAAACCCAACUAUUUCGCGAACUAUUUUAACGGGUCAACCGUUGGUCUAGUUUUGUACUUGCCAACAAAACAAAGAACAUAUGAAAUAGUAAAUUAUUUCAAAGUAAAUCAAAUAGCGACGUAGAUUAUAUAACAACGAGUAAUCGUUUUAACAAUUAAAAAUUUCUUUUCAUUGGUUCAUACAAUUUUCGAAUUGGUAUCAACUUUAGUGUUAUUGUAUGUUUGUACCAUAUUUGACCAAUCCCGAAAUUACUGAGCACCGGUCAACGUUAUACCGUCAAGGACCCAGAAGAGUUUCCCUCCAACUAGGAGGCCAAUCACAGCGUAACACGUGUCGACAUCAGAAGCCAAUCAUAGUGCGACACGUGUCAACAUCAAAAGCCAAUCACAACACGACACGUGUCAAUGUCAGAAUGAAACUAGAAACUCUCUUCUAUAAAUAGAGAUCAUUCUCUCAUAAUAUUUCCUAAUGUCAUUUGUACUAAAUCAUUCACCUGUACUCACUAAAGGAGAGCUUGAACCUAUGUACUUGUGUAAACCCUUCACAAUUAAUAAGAACUCCUCUACUCCGUGGACGUAGCCAAUCUGGGUGAACCACGUACAUCUUUUGUUUGCUUCCCUGUCUCUAUCCAUUUGCAUACUUAUCCACAUUAGUGACCGGAGCAAUCUAACGAAGGUCACAAACUUAACACUUUCUGUUGUACCAAAGUCCUCACUGAUUUUGUGCAUCAACAUAUGGCACCGUCUGUGGGAACGACACUUAUUCCCACUUUCUUCAGCUUUGCCAAGCUGGUUUCCACCAUUCGUACACUCUCUUUUGACCAGGCAUCCCUCUUCAACAUGGGGAGCGAAGGAAGCCACAGCAUACAGAAUGACACCCCUCAUGCACCUAGUGCGAAACAACAAAGGAAGGAAGGAAAGAGGGUUGCUCUUUAAGCUAAAUUCGAUGAGUUAGAAGCUCAGAAUAACAAGAUAGCAAUGAAGAAUGAGGUCCUCUAAGAGCAGUAUGAGAAGCUCUUUGAGACGCUCCACGAAACUAGGCGUACUCAAACACGUGAGCUCGUUGCCCCUAUGGACAUCAACCAUCAUCUGGGUGCCCCCCAACACGGAGGGUCACCUCCCUUCGACAUGGGUAUCCCUAAUGAGGAGCAAGCUAAUCAUCAAAACAUUGAUCAACAUGAGACUUCUCUCAACUCAGAUGUUUCGACCCGAAGUAGAAGAAAUGGAGGAAAACACCUCAUUGCAGAAGGGUUUGAAGGAUCAAAAGUCGUUUAUCGUGAUUGCCGAGACUUCCUAAAGCAACGUCGAGAGAAUCCCCUCCACAUAUGCUCGAAGAUCAAUGACCUAAGGGUUUCUGAAAGACUCGGUCCCUUCUCACGACCCAGGCCAGCUGCUAAUCUAGGGAAGGAAUGACAGGUCCCAGAGGAAUAUGAAGGUACGGAGGACUCUGAGGUAUUCCGAUAGACUCGUCCUAUAAGUCAGUACGGCGAGUCCAAGAAAAAACCACACGCCCUUACUCAAACUUUCCUACUUCCAAGAGGCGAUGGAAACUUACGAAAGAAAAUUCCAGUGGUACAUGACUUUACUCAGGACCCCCUUGUCCUUCAGCUUCUUGUGGAAGUAACCAAGUUGAAGGCCGAACGUCAGGCCGAGAUACCUGACUCGAACCAACCUAGGCAUGGCUCUCUCAUAAGAAGGAUCAUCGACACCCCCUUUCAAGUGAAGACAAAACAAAAGCUUAGUUUACAACUCUAUACUAGAAGGGAGGACCUAAUUGAACACCUUAACCUCUUUGAGGCCACCAUGGCAUAUCGGAUGCAUACUGACGAAGAGUAAUGUCUUCUCUUCCUCUCCACCCUCUCUGGCGGAGCUCUAAACUGGUAUUGCCAUCUUCCACCUGAGACAGUAGACUCAUUUGAGGAAUUGAGGAAACUGUUUGUCUCUCAACACAUCUUCCAGACCGAUCACUUGCAUUCUACGGAUGACUUGUACACUAUUCGCUAGAAGCCGGACGAGUCACUACGAGAGUAUGUCGGUCGCUUCAGCCAUGAGUAUUCUCGCUGCACUGAGGCAGAUGACAAGACCGCCCUCAAGGCCUUCAAGGCAGGCCUACGUGAUUGUUUCUUCAAGUACAUGAUCAAUGCCAACACUUGGAAGACUUACUCUGAGAUGAUGGCACAAGCUUACAACCACGCCUACGCCGAAGUAAAGACAUACCAAGGGAACCCCCAUAUGGUUAACCCCUAUCAAGAAAUGGGAAGUGGAAGUCAAGUUCUACCAAGUGAGGAGAUAUUAGCCUUUCAGACACCCAUUGCAUCAUCUCCUGCCUCAUUUAGCUACUCGCUAAGUCACCAAACGUAUCUGUCUCUUUGUAAGAGGAAGGAUUUUUACUCUCAGCAAGCCCAUUACAGCAAGAGGGAUAAAAGUUCGUAUCAAGACAACCAGGGGUGAACGUACCGUCGAUUAUUAUGUCUAUAGGGCCAUGCCUCACUCUUUCAAAGUGAAGGACUAGGUACUGAAGGAAAUGUUAUUAUAAGAAGGCAUACACAUUACAAAUGUUUUGACUCUUAACCGCUUGAGAUCUUUUGUCACACAAGCCAUUCGGCAAAUAUUUAAAGAAGAGGGAAUUCAUACAACUUCUUCUGAGUCUUUUGCGUUCCUAGCACUGGAACACUUGGUCUACAUUGACCUACCCUUAUACUCCAACUCAGAGCUUCAACAUGCGUACUUUGACACAAAGUAUGUGAUACUAAGUGUUACAACUAACAUGGUUCACAUAUCAAAAGCAUGGAUCCCUUCAUGCAUAGCAAAACAUUCAUCAGCAUCACACAUAUCAAUCAACAUAAACAUUAUACAUUCCAACACAUUCAUACAUAAACAUCAUACAUUCCAACACAUUCAUACAUAAACAUCAUACAUUCCAACACAUCCAUACAUAAGCCAACUGUGCUUCAAAAGGGUUCAACAUACUUUGUGUCUUCAACACUUGCUACAAUGUGCCUCGACACCUUGCCCUUAUUCUCACCAACCAGGUGAUGAAAUGUGAAGAAGGAACUCAUCUUCAUGCCACCAACCAAGUGAUGAAAUGUACAACCCGUACUCUAAUAUCAUUUGGCAACUUGCCACUCAUGCCACUAACCAGGUGAAGAAGGAACUCAUCUUCAUGCCACCAACCAGGUGAAGAAGGACCUCAUCUUCGUGCCACCAUCCAGGUGAUGAAAUGUCCAACCCGUACUCUCCUUCAUGCCACUAACCAGGUGAUGAAAUGUACAACCCGUACUCUAAUAUCAUUUGGCAACUUGCCACUCAUGCCACCAACCAGGUGAAGAAUGAACUCAUCUUCAUGCCACAAACCAGGUGAUGAAAUGUACAACCCAUACUCUCCUUCAUGCCACCAACCAGGUGAUGAAAUGUACAACCAGUACUUUAAUAUUAAUUGACAACUUGCCAUUCAUGCCACCAACCAGGUAAAGAAGGAAAACAUCUUCAUGCCACCAACCAGGUGAUGAAAUGUACAACCCGUACUCUCCUUCAUGCCACCAACCAGGUGAUAAAAUGUACAACCCGUACUCUAAUAUCAUUUGGCAACUUGCCAUUCAUGCCACCAACCAGGUGAAGAAGGAACUCAUCCUCGUGCCACCAACCAGGUGAUGAAAUGUGAUGAAAGGUGAUGAAGGAACUCACCUUCGUACCACCAACUAAGUGAUGAAAGCAACUCACCAUUCAUUCCACCUACCAGAAGACGAGUGGUACAACUUGUACAUGUGAACUCUUAGCAUUCACAAAUAAUCAAAAACCCUCAAGCUUGACAACUCAACUAGGGGAGCACUUAUGCCUAACAAGAGUUAUAGUCACCAAUAAAGUCUUAUUGCAAGCCAAUAACAACUUCAGUGCAUGGCAUACGAAGAUUAAGCUAUUCAGCCCUCUUGCAUCUGCUUCAAGCAUUUCCCCUCUGUAACAAUGCAAACACUACAACUCGUAGAAAGCUUCACACACUCUUGAUCAAGACAGUGUGAAGCAAAACCAAUUUAUGGUGCUAACAAGAGCUUCAUCAAAGAAGUUCAACCACAAUUCUUAAAAACUUCACACAUUUUUUAUCAAGACAGUGUGAAGCAAAACCAAUUUAUGGUGUCAACAAGAGCUUCAUCAACGGAGGGCAACUACAAUUCUCAAAAGCUUCACACACUCUUGAUCAAGAGAGUGAAGCAAAACUAAUUUAUAGUGCCAACAAGAGCUUCAUCAAUAGAGGGCAACCACAAUUCUCAAAAGCUUCACACACUCUUGAUCAAGACAAUGUGAAGCAAAACCAAUUUAUGGUGCCAACAAGAGCUUCAUCAAAGGAGUUCAACCACAAUUCUCAAAAGCUUCACAUACUCUUGAUCAAGACAGUGUGAAGCAAAACCAAUUUAUGGUGCCAACAAAAGCUUUAAAUUGGUGCCAACAAGAGCUUCAUCAAUGGAAGGCAACCAUAAUUCUCAAAAGCUUCACACACUCUUGAUCAAGACAGUGUGAAGCAAAACCAAUUUACGGUGCCAACACAAAUUUCAUCAAAAGAGUUCAACCACAAUUCUCAAAAGCUUCACACACUCUUGAUCAAGACAGUGUGAAGCAAAACCAAUUUAUGGUGCCAACAAAAGCUUCAUCAAUGGAAGGCAACUACAAUUCUCAAACCUUCGAAGCAAAUUCAAGACUGUUCGAAGCAAAUUCAAUUUAUAUGGUUCAUCCAAACCUUCGACUACUACAAGGUGUGGCUUGCAUCACAAUCUCUUGCUCAACAGUGUGGAAGCAAAAUUUGUAUAUGUUGUCUCUCCCACAUUUUUCAAAUUUCUAGUUUCCCAAAAAAAAAAAAUUGGGAAAUUCAACAAAGCUUCAUCAAUGGAGGACAACUACAAAUUCUCAAAAGCUUCACACUAUCUUGAUCAAGAUAGUGUGAAGCAAAAUCAAUUCGUGGUACCCAACAAAGCUUCACCACAAAAGCUUCACCAACAAAAGCUUCAUCAAUGGAGGACAACUACAAAUUCUCAAAAGCUUCACACUAUCUUGAUCAAGAUAGUGUGAAGCAAAAUCAAUUCAUGGUACCUAACAAAAAGCUUCAACUCCAAAGCUUCACCAAUAAAAACUUUAUCAAUGGAGGACAACUACAAAUUCUCAAAAGCUUCACACUAUCUUGAUCAAGAUAGUGUGAAGCAAAAUCAAUUCAUGGUACCCAACAAAAGCUUCAACUCCAAAGCUUCACCUACAAAGCUUCAACUCCAAAGCUUCACCUACAAAAGCUUCACACCCACAAUAGCUUCACCCACAAAGCUUCACCUACAAAAGCUUCACCCAUAAAAGCUUCACCAACAAAAGCUUCACCCACAAAAGCUUCACCCACCACAAAAGCUUCACCGACAAAAACUUCACCCAUAAAAGCUUUACCAACAAAAGCUUCACCCACAAAAGCUUCCACCACCAUAAAAGCUUCACCCACAAAAGCUUCCCCCAUCACAAAAGCUUCACCAACCACAAAAGCUUCACCCAUAAAAGCUUCACCUACAAAGCUUCAACACAAAAGCUUCACCUAAAAAAGCUUCACAUUAUCUUGAUCAAGAUAGUGUGAAGAUAGUGUGAAGCAAAAUCAAUUCAUGGUACCCAACAAAGCUUCAAUCUCAAAGCUUCACCUACAAAGCUUCAACAACAAAGCUUCACCUACAAAGCUUCAACAACAAAGCUUCACCUACAAAGCUUUAAAAUAUAUAUAUAUAUAUAUAUAUAUAUUUUUUUUUUUUGAAAUUCGAAAAUAAAAAAUAAAAAAAAAUUCGAAAAAUAAAAAAUUUCAAAAAAAAAUUCGAAAAAAAAAUUGCUUAGGCCUCCUUUUCUUUGGGCCUAACAACUUUCAUAACAAAUAUAUAUGAAGAAGGAGUUUUGGGCUACCACUUAGAAAGGAAAUGCCUCAUUCGUCAACUCCCUCGACCGGAGACUUAGGGGACUCCUACCAUAUGCUACUGCACCUUGAUACUCGGAAGUCUCACGACCACUCAGUGACUUGGAUUUUUCAAGUCUCCAAACGAGAAGUUUUCCUCACUCGGAAAAUUAAGGGAGCACUACCUCAACCUACAUGCUUCACUCACAAAGCUUCAACAUACAAGCUUCAACAAAAGGAAAAAUUCAAAGAACUUAGUGAAGAAGGCCUUGGUGUAUUUAACACAAUACGUUGAAAUGAAGCAAAGCUUGUUUAUUGAUAUCUCCGAUAAGUUACAAAUAUGUACAUAUACAUGAAUCAAAAUAAACAAACAAGAGGAGCCUUCACAAAGGUUGCUCAGGAGAAGUCUCAGCAGUCGGCAAGGGCCCCAGAAAGAGGAGGCACCAGAGGGUGAUUAUUCGGAGCCUCAGUACUAGGCAGAACCCCAGAAGGAGGAGGCACCGAAGGUUGAUCAUUUGGAGCUUCAUUACGCGGUACAGCCCCAGAAGACGAAGGCAAUAAAUGCCUUUGGAACAAACCCACAAACCUCUGAUGAUCAAGUAAAAUCUGACCAUCAGAUUCCUGCAGCUGGUCGAGCUUCCUCUUCAUGUUUGUAGCAUAGUCAUGUGCGAGCCUGUGCAACUGUUUAUUCUCAUGCUUGAGCCCUCUGAUCUCCUGUUUGAGACUUAUCACUUCAGCCGCCAAUGAUUCAACUUGGCGGGUUCGAGCAAAUAGGCGUUGGGCCAUAUUAGACACAGAACCUGCACACUGAACACUGAGAGCCAGAGAAUCCUUAACAGCCUUCAUCAGACCGUUUGGAAAGUAGUCUGUUAUCUUUGGGAGUGAGAAGGUUCCUGGCCACCACCGCAGCGGUCAUAUCAUUCUUCAUCACAGAGUCCCCAACGGUAAGAGGACCAGUAGGGGAUAAGAAGGAUGGGUGCCAUAUGUUGUCUUGAGAAGGCAUGGCUGCCUCUUCACCAAAGUUCAAGUCAAAACGACGGUCGGAUGGGCCAGACAUUCUCAGAAAUGAUGAAGGAGAAAUGAGGUGCAAUAAAUCUCUGAAGUAAGGGGAAAAUUCCUACAAGCAAUAACUCUCUGAAUGUACUUCUUGCACAUAAUUGGUGCCCUUAUAAAAGAAAGGGCAACAGGGCCGUUGGUUCAAAAAUCGAAGAGGCACCACUCUUCGGAUUCCAAAGAGGCACCACUUUCCACACGCAACAUCAGCUCCUCGGGUACCACAUAUAACUUUGCCAAAGAUCUCUGACAAAGUUUAGACACAUAAAUUUUAAAGGUCCAGCUAUCCUACUAUUACCCACAAGGGUAAAGGAACAACACCACUGCUUGAUAACUAGAAAGUCCCAAUGUGUGUCAACCUCCGUGCUCCGUGGCAAGGCAGACUGGCAAAAAUGCCCAACCUUUACUCACAUUUGAUAAAACACUCCCAACAAGAUUGCUUGCUCAAAAAUCGAAGAGACAUCGCCCUCCGAAUCUAGAUAGCCAGACUCCCAACAGGAUUAUUUUCUCAAAAAUCGAAGAGAUACUGCUCUCCGAAUCUCAAGAGUCAGACUCCCAACAAGAUUGCUUUCUAAAAAAUCGAAGAGGCACUGCUAUCUGAAUCUCGAGAGCUAGACUCCCAACAAGAUUACGUGCUCAAAAAUCGAAGAGGCACCGCCCUCUGAAUCUCGAGAGCCAGACUCCCAACAGGAUUACUUUCUCAAAAAAUCGAAGAGACUGCUUUCCGAAUCUCAAGAGUCAGACUCCCAACAGGAUUGCUUUCUCAAAAAUCGAAAAGGCAUCGUUAUCUGAAUCUUGAGAGCCAGAUCCUCGACAGGAUUGCUUGUUCGAAAAUCAAAGAGACACCGCUCUCUGAACUCCGAGAGCCAGAUUUCCUUGGAUAAAGCUUGUCUGCAAUCUUCACACACAACAUCAGUUUUCCAGAUACUACAAACCACUUUUUCAAAGUGCUCUGACAAAGUUAAAACACGUGAAGCUUGCAGCUCCCAUUACAUUGCUAUGACCAAGAAGGGUAAAGAAAUAGCACUACUACUUGUUAUUAGGGAGACUCAUAUAUAUAUCGACCUCCAUCCUCCACAACCAGGCAGACCUACAAAUAAAAAAAAAUGCUCAACUUUUCUUCACAUCCGAGAAGGCACCCUCAGCAGAGUCUCAUGAAAUACUCAGCUUUUUUUCCUCCCGAUAAUACCUCUGCAAACAAGCCACACCAGAGCAAGAGUAUCUCAUAUCAUCAGGGUUAAAAGCAAGAGUAUCCCAUAUCAUGCUUUUUCCCUGUUUUUUCCUUUGGCCUUGUUUUUACCUACAAGACAAGGAGAAAAAGAGCAAUCAGUCAGCGCUUGAAAUCAAGCUUCAAGUCAGGAACUACCUCUUGCCUGAUUACUUACCUGACAUUGCUCUCGAGUACUCAUCUUCAACAUCUUAUGCUUUCAGAGAAGAUACCAUAUCUGCCUGAGGAACAGAUAAGGCAAGUGAGAAGGAUACAAGGAAGCAAGUGGAGACAAGCGUAACAGAACACGUGCCGAUACAUCCACUACUUUGUCAACAACAAAAGUAUCCCAUAUCAUCAGGGUCGAACGUACUCUAGAUUUGAUGGACUUGUUUUGACCCUCAAAUUCUUGAGUCGGCCUUAUACUCUGGAGGAAACCAGAAAACCCUCCAGCCCAGUUCAAGAAUAAGCAUGUGGAAAGUUACUUCUUCAAAAGCAAAAGUAUCUCAUAUCAUCUCUUCUCCAUUUGUUUCUCCUUAUCCUUGUUGCUAUUUAAGACACAAGGAGAAGGAGAACAAUCAACCGGAAGCCGAAGUUGAACCUCUGAUCCAGGUUGCUUGCUUGGAAGUCUGAUUGCUUACCUUUUCUGUUACCUCUCUCGGCAAAUCUCCUAGCUCGACGACUUGGGGGACUCCUACUACAGGGUUUGUAUCGCACAUGACCAAGCUCGAAAUUACAAGUAAGCUUCAAGUGAAAUUGAUACAUUACCUUAUGCAUCUUCAUCGGUUAAAGAUACCACCCAUGGAUAGAGGAAAAGUACCUCUAGAGAAGAUGCCACAUCUACAUAUGAGACAGAUAAGACAAGUGAAAAUGAUACCACACUUCGGUACUUAGAAGUUUCGUGAUUACUUAAUAGCUUGGAUCUUGUAAGUCCCUAACCGAGGAGCUUCCCUUACUCGGGAGCUUAGGGGAUCACUGUUUGUACCAUACUUGACCAAUCCCAAAACUACUGAGCACCGGUCAAAGUUAUACCGUCAAGGACCCAUAAGUGUUUCCCUCCAACCAGGAGGCCAAUCACAGCGUGACACGUGUCGACAUCAGAAGCCAAUCAUAGCGCGACACGUGUCAACAUCAGAAGUCAAUCACAACACGACAUGUGUCAAUGUCAGAAUGAAACUAGAAACUCUCUUCUAUAAAUAGAGAUCAUUCUCUCAUAAUAUUUCCUAAUGUCAUUUGUACUAAAUCAUUCACUAGUACUCACUAAAGAAGAGUUUGAACAUAUGUACUUGUGUAAACCCUUCACAAUUAAUAAGAACUCCUCUACUCUAUGGACGUAGCCAAUCUGGGUGAACCACAUACAUCUUGUGUUUGCUUCCCUGUCUCUAUCCAUUUGCAUACUUAUCCACACUAGUGACCGGAGCAAUCUAGCGAAGGUCACAAACUUAACACUUUCUGUUAUACCAAAGUCCUCACUGAUUUUGUGCAUCAAUAUUGUACAAAUGAAAGGUAUGGUGACUAUAGAAGCUAAAAAUAAAUAAACAGAAAAUAAAGGAAAAGUGACAAAGAAAAAUAUUAGUUUGUGUCGUUCUCAUUGUAAUAGUCUGUCAUGUGAUAUAUUUUAUACAUUGUAAUAUGAACGAUGAGUAAGUGUUUUGUUUUUUUUGUCAAACAAUAUAUUUGUUAGAUUAGAGAAUUGACGGGGUUCGAAUCCACGUCGUGGUGCAAGGCCACCACUAGUCUCCACUACUGUGGUAGAGUGCCACUUGUGGUCAGUAAGUUAUUAAAUGGUGUGAGAAUUACACCAAAAUAUUCAUUAGUUUUGGAGUAAUGCUAGAGAGACUAAAUUUGUAGACAAAAUUUUAAAAACUAAAAGACAUAAAAGUUAAUGAUUGGUUUAUUACUUAAGUGUUAAUAAACAUGCUUAUUCCUAUUGGUGACACAUUAUUUAGUUUACAAAUUUUGUCUAUAAAUUUAGUCUCUGUGGCAUUACCCUUAGUUUUAGGCUUUGUAAUCAAAAUGGUCUUAGAGAUUGGUACAACUCUUUACUUUGGUCCCAAAUAUUGAAAAUUGAUAGAAGUAAUCCCUGAGUUUGUUCACCGUAAAUCAUUUUGGUGCAUCCGUGAAAAGUCUGUCAACACCAUCUUUAAAUUGUCAUAUGAGCGACCACAAGACAACCUUUUCCAUAGUAUUGUCAAACUAACUCCUUUUAUUAACCAAAAUGGUCGAGUUUGGUAUAACCUCUCAUUUUGAUUACUAACAAUGAAUAUCAAUAGAUGUGGUCCUUGAGUUUGUCUAUCGUAAAUCAUUUUGGUCAUUCUAUGAAAAAUUUAUCAAUAUACUCGUUAAAUUGUCAUGUGAGCGACCGCGUGAUCACCUUUUAAAGGGCAUUUUUACCAAACCAACCCCUCCACUUAACAAGAAUAUUGAUAGAGUUUUCAAGGAAGGAACAAAAUGAUUUACGAUGGUCAAACUCAAUGACCACUUCUAUCAGUUUUCAUUGUUAGGGACUAAAAUAAAGAGUCAUGUCGAUAUCAGGAACUAUUUUGGUUAAAAGGGGUUGGUUUGAUAAAAAAAUACAUUUAAAAGGGUGGUUACAUGGUCGCUCAUGUAACAACUCAAUGAUGAUAUUGAUAGAUUUUUUACUGAAUGAUCAAAAUAAUUUAUGGUGGAUAAAGUCAAAAACCACGUCUAUCGAUUUUGUAAUCUUAGAAACUAAAACGAAGAAUUAUGACAAUCUCAAAAAUCAUAAGUUUAACUAAAAACUCUUCUUGUUAUACAUCAAAAUUAAUGAAUGUGCUUUUGUAGAGGACGUAAAUGUGUCAACGAAUCAGACCUUCACUAGUUAAAACCAUCCCUACUAAUGCUGUUUGAAAAGUAAGUACUAAUAUGAUUAAUGAUUGUACAGAAAAAUAAGUACUAAUAUGAUUAAUGAUUGUACAGAAAAAAAUAUAUUAUCUGAACAGCUCAUCGUGCAUGUUGAUUGAUGUAAAGUGAAUUUUUUUUUUUUUGGUAAACUUGGGAAGGUGGAACUUGGGAAGGAAUUUCACAUUCUUGGGGUGAUCAAUAUAAUGAGAUUGUAAGUCUAGUUAAACAUGCUUAAUUAAACAUUUAAGCAUCUUUUAUUUAUUUGUUUUCAUUCUUUAUUCCUUCUUAAUUUGUUGUAAUUGUUUGGAACAACUAGCAAGACAAAUCUAGCUAGCUAGCAUUCACUGCACAAUGAAAGAUUAUUCGUAUUUGGAAAUGAAUAAUUAGUUAAAACCUGUAUUAUUAGGCAAAUGGGAUCGUAAAUAUUUGUAUCUUAAACCUUCACAGUCAGAGAUAUUCGAGUCAAUUAGUUAAAAGCUAUGAAAAUUGUGAAUGUGACAGACUACGUACUAAAGUCUGGAUUAUUUGAGAGAGAGAGAGACAUGAGUCUCGCAGCCGACUGGUCCCUCAUCUGAGCAGAAAGAACCAUAGAAAGUUAGGCAACCACGCACAUUUUCAAAGAUGUCGAUCAUGAAAAAUAUUUCACAAAUAAAUUCAGGGAAGACUUUCUGUUUAAAUUAUUAACCCAGAAAUAAAGCUCCAUCUCUUGGUAGCUAGCCUUUCUGCUACGUACUCUUGUUGCAUUAAACUAAACCUUAUUAAAGCAAAAAUAAUCACACCUUAGGUGAUAGGUUUAGGGAAAUGGUUAAUGAUUUUAGCAAGUUCUUGUUUAUUUUUUAAUUUUUAAUUUUUUUUUCUUUAAUCAAUUUAAAUGCUAAAAUUAAACAACGAUGUGCACCACAAAUAAGAGGGUGUGUGAAAAUUAUAUCUCUAUAUCUAGAGAAAAUUAUGGCAAUGGUUCUUUAACUUUAAUAAAAUUGAAGUAAUGGUCUCUCAAAUAAAAAUUUAUGAUCAUUGGUCCCUUAAUUCUUUCAAACAUGCAACUAUAGUCAUUUUCAUCAAUUCCAUAAGAACGUCCAUCAAAAUGAGUCACGUUUCAUGCAAUGAGGCUGAAUCGAAGGACAAAUAUGAAAAACCAAAUGAGAAAAAUUGUAGCAGUGGUCUCUCAACUCUAACCCAACUAGAGAAAUAGUCUCUCAACUUUAACUCAAUUAGAGUAAUGAUCCUUCAACCUUAACGUAAUUGUAGCAAUGGUUAUUCAAACAUAACUUAUUUUGACAGAAUUCUAACGGAGUUAACAAAAAAAUCAUAGCUGCACGUUUUGAUGAGUCAAGAGACCAAUGAUCAUGGAUUUUUAGUUGAAGAACAAUUGCUCUAAUUGGGUUAAAGUUGAGAGGCAAUUGCUACAAUCUUCUCCUAUAUUUAUUUAUUAUUAUCUACGUUUACAAUGAACCAUCUACUCCAUGAAGCAAGAUAUUAAAAAAGGACAAGGAUUGUCUGCCCUUCCAUUUUCCAUGCCCUCCUGUUUUGUGUGAUCACAGUUAAGCCACGUUAACAUUUUAUAUAUUUUUUAUAAAGAUAAUAAAACAAAAAUGAAUAGUAAUAUAAAAUAUUGACGUGGCUUAACCGUGACCACACAAACAAGAGGGCAUGGAAGGGCAUGGAAAAAGGAAGGGCAGACAAUCCUUUCCAUUAAAAAAAGGGCAGGGCUUAACAAAAUUCAGUCAAAGGCCUCCUUGAUCCAAACAUUAAUUGAUAAUCUAUUCAAACAGUGGCCCCAUUAGUCUUAUUUUAACAUUAAUCUUAUUUUUUACUAAGGUAAUUAAUAAUUGCAAGUGAAAUUUGGCAUGAUUACCGUGGUGUUAAAGGUAAAGACCAAAGCUAUAUAAAGGGUGAGAAGGCUUAGCUUAAGAGGCAGAAAUCCCAUUCUUAACAAAGAUGGGGAAAAUGGGGCCUUCACAAGUGACCUCUCUUGUGGUCACUAUACUAGUGGCACUAGUCUCUCUCACAUUGCCUUCAGAAACUUCAGCUAACUACCCUUACUCAUCUCCACCACCACCGGCUUCUCCUCCCUACCACUACAAGUCACCACCACCUCCUUCUCCUUCUCCUCCAGUGUACUCACCACCUAAGCAUCCCUACCACCCCAAGUCACCACCACCAUCACCAAAGCCUUACCACUACAAGUCCCCACCACCACCUCCUCCUCCAGUGCACUCACCACCCCCACCAAAGGAGCCUUACCACUACAAGUCUCCACCACCACCACCCAAGAAACCUCACCAUCACAAGUCUCCUCCACCACCACCCAGGAAGCCCUACCACCCGGUGCACUCACCCCCACCACCAAAGAAGCCUUACCAUUACAAGUCUCCUCCACCACCACCCAAGAAGCCCUACCACCCGGUGCACUCACCCCCACCACCAAAGAAGCCUUACCAUUACAAGUCUCCUCCACCACCACCCAAGAAGCCCUACCACCCGGUGCACUCCCCACCACCACCAAAGAAGCCUUACCAUUACAAGUCUCCUCCACCACCACCCAAGAAGCCCUACCACCCGGUGCACUCACCCCCACCACCAAAGAAGCCUUACCAUUACCAAUCCCCACCACCACCACCACCACACAAGAAGCCUCACCACCCAGUUCACUCACCACCUCCACCUAAGAAGCCUUACCACUACACGUCUCCCCCACCACCCCCUCCAGUCCACAAGUCUCCUCCACCACCAGUUCACUCACCACCACCACCACCUAUUAAACCUUACAAGCCACCAACACCUCCAACAGUUCACCCACCACCCGCUUACAUCUAUUCAUCACCCCCACCUCCUCACCACUACUAGAUAUUGAGAGCUUAGUUGCAUCCAGUUGGUAAGCCUCUCCAUUCUAUGUUUUUAGAUCAUAUCCAUACAACUGCAAGCAAUCGCCAAAUAAUUUGACAAAAAACAUCCCUAGCUAUAAAAUUAUAAUACACUAGUGUUUACUUCCUUUUUUGUCUAAUAAUCCAUAUUGGCAUAUGCAAGCUUAAUGCAUUUCCAGCAUAUCGUCAUUACUCAAUUAAAGUUUCUUGAUAUUUAGUAGUACUCAAGUGUAACAAAUAGACCAAUGACAGAGACCUAACAAGUAACAAUAAUAUAUAUAUAUAU
This 40129-nucleotide long non-coding RNA is filed under the name Malus domestica (apple). Its description in RNAcentral is "long non-coding RNA (MDOM_LNC004283)". The record is from RNAcentral. Lineage: Eukaryota; Viridiplantae; Streptophyta; Magnoliopsida; Rosales; Rosaceae.